GUUCAUUAUCAAAGAUGAAAAAUUCUUUUCAAGCUCCGCUUAUUGGUCGUGUUAUGCUCACAAUUCUUCUUUUCGGAGUAACGACGAUUGCCCAGAAAAGAGGACCACCAUCAAAACCAAAAACUUGUUAUGGUUGCAGCUAGUUCAUGACUCCAUUUGCAAGCCUCACGGAUAAUUUCGUUACCCUCGACUGCAAGAUCACGUCUCUCGUUGCGAGCUUGUAUAACUCAAAUAAUAUUUAUAAUAAUACAUGCCUUUAUCAAAGAAAAAAAUAACAAUAUUAUUAAUUGUUGUUUGUUUUGUAGCAUAAUAAAGUGUAUUAAGUUUC
Long non-coding RNA from Brassica oleracea var. oleracea, 328 nucleotides. RefSeq lists it as uncharacterized. The record is from RefSeq and is a predicted model, not a curated record. NCBI's taxonomy places the organism in Eukaryota, Viridiplantae, Streptophyta, Magnoliopsida, Brassicales, Brassicaceae. The transcript has 3 exons.